CUUAAGUGCGCGGUUGGUGGGUGUUCUGCAGUGGGGGGAGGGAGCCGACAAAGACCUGGGAGUGUGCGUGGAUCUCUCUAUUCCAAAGGAGGUGUUUUAUCACACGACUCGACACUUUCUAAUUACUACACACAGUGGAGUUUACUUUACUACUAUUCUUUUGUUCGUUGGGGGAACGCUCUCUUUCGGGGGGGGAGUUCUCCCAGNGGAUGCAAACACAAACAAAUAUUUUUUUAAAAUAAUUCAGUCAACACAAGAUUUCUUUUAGUAGAAAACAACUUCAAAACUUUCAACAAUGGAUCUCUUGGUUCUCGCAUCGAU
This 321-nucleotide unclassified non-coding RNA is filed under the name Nakaseomyces glabratus. RNAcentral describes it as "[Candida] glabrata partial ITS1". Lineage: Eukaryota; Fungi; Ascomycota; Saccharomycetes; Saccharomycetales; Saccharomycetaceae. The record is from RNAcentral.